This 468-nucleotide ribosomal RNA is filed under the name uncultured bacterium. RNAcentral's name for it is "partial 16S ribosomal RNA". It matches the Rfam family "Bacterial small subunit ribosomal RNA", at positions 28 to 507 of the family's 1533-position model. The record is from RNAcentral.
GACGAACGCUGGCGGCGUGCUUAACACAUGCAAGUCGAACGGAAAGGCCCUGCUUUUGUGGGGUGCUCGAGUGGCGAACGGGUGAGUAACACGCGAGUAACCUGCCCUUGACUUUGGGAUAACUUCAGGAAACUGGGGCUAAUACCGGAUAGGAGCUCCUGCUGCAUGGUGGGGGUUGGAAAGUGUCGGCGGUAGGGGAUGGACUCGCGGCUUAUCAGCUUGUUGGGGGGGUAGUGGCUUACCAAGGCUUUGACGGGUAGCCCGCAUGAGAGGGUUACCGGCCACCAUGGGACUGCGAUACGGCCCAGACUCCUACGGGAGGCAGCAGUGGGGAAUAUUACACAAUGGGCGGAAGCCUGAUGCAGAAACGCCGGGUGCGGGAUGACGGCCUUCGGGUUGUAAACCGCUUUCGCCUGUGACGAAGCGUGAGUGACGGUAAUGGGUAAAGAAGCCCCGGCUAACUACGUG